GGCGGCAGGCCUAACACAUGCAAGUCGAGCGGUAGCACAAGAGAGCUUGCUCUCUGGGUGACGAGCGGCGGACGGGUGAGUAAUGUCUGGGAAACUGCCUGAUGGCGGGGGAUAACUAGUGGAAACGGUAGCUAAUACCGCAUAACGUCGCAAGACCAAAGUGGGGGACCUUCGGGCCUCACGCCAUCAGAUGUGCCCAGGUAGGAUUAGCUGGUAGGUGGGGUAACGGCUCACCUAGGCGACGAUCCCUAGCUGGUCUGAGAGGAUGACCAGCCACACUGGAACUGAGACACGGUCCAGACUCCUACGGGAGGCAGCAGUGGGGAAUAUUGCACAAUGGGCGCAAGCCUGAUGCAGCCAUGCCGCGUGUGUGAAGAAGGCCUUCGGGUUGUAAAGCACUUCAGCGAGGAGAAAG
Molecule: ribosomal RNA, 415 nt
Filed under: Serratia symbiotica
Lineage: Bacteria; Pseudomonadati; Pseudomonadota; Gammaproteobacteria; Enterobacterales; Yersiniaceae
Description: bacterial SSU rRNA
Rfam family: Bacterial small subunit ribosomal RNA
Source: RNAcentral